This 370-nucleotide ribosomal RNA is filed under the name uncultured bacterium. Its description in RNAcentral is "partial 16S ribosomal RNA". It matches the Rfam family "Bacterial small subunit ribosomal RNA", at positions 338 to 722 of the family's 1533-position model. The record is from RNAcentral.
CCUACGUGUGGCAGCAGUGGGGAAUAUUGGGCAAUGGGCGCAAGCCUGACCCAGCAACGCCGCGUGAAGGAAGAAGGCUCUCGGGUUGUAAACUUCUUUUAUCAGGGACGAAGCAAGUGACGGUACCUGCUGAAUAAGCAACGGCUAACUACGUGCCAGCAGACGCGGUCAUCCGGAGGUGGCCAGCGUUAUCCGGAUUUACUGGGUGUAAGGGGUGUGUAGGCGGGAAAGCAAGUCAGUUGUGAAAACCAUGGGCUCAACCUGUGGACUGCAUGUGAAACUGGUUUUCUUGAGUACUGGAGAGGUAGACGGAAUGCGUAGUGUAGCGGUGAAAUGCGUAGAUAUUAGGAGGAACACCAGUGGCGAAGGC